This 230-nucleotide ribosomal RNA is filed under the name uncultured Glomeraceae. RNAcentral describes it as "partial 18S ribosomal RNA". The stretch from base 38 to 230 matches the Rfam family "Eukaryotic small subunit ribosomal RNA", at positions 684 to 878 of the family's 1831-position model. The record is from RNAcentral. Lineage: Eukaryota; Fungi; Glomeromycota; Glomeromycetes; Glomerales; Glomeraceae.
GGGUCAGUAGGUUGGUCGUGCCUAUGGUAUGUACUGGCUUUACUGAUUCCUCCUUCUUGAAGAACUGUAAUGUCAUUAAUUUGGUGUUGCAGGGAAACAGGACUGUUACUUUGAAAAAAUUAGAGUGUUUAAAGCAGGCUAACGCUUGAAUACAUUAGCAUGGAAUAAUGAAAUAGGACGUUCGAUCCUAUUUUGUUGGUUUCUAGGAUUGACGUAAUGAUUAAUAGGGA